AUUGAACGCUGGCGGCAGGUCUAACACAUGCAAGUCGAACGAGUGGCGGACGGGGGAGUAAUGUCUGGGAAACUGCGUGAUGGAGGGGGAUAAAUACUGGAAACGGUAGCUAAUAACGCAUACCAUCGGAUGUGCCCAGAUGGGAUUAGCUAGUAGGCGGGGUAAAGGCUCACCUAGGCGACGAUCCCUAGCUGGUCAGAGAGGAUGACCGUCCACACUGGAACUGAGACACGGUCCAGACUCCUACGGGAGGCAGCAGUGGGGAAUAUUGCACAAUGGGCGCAAGCCUGAUGCAGCCAUGCCGCGUGUAUGAAGAAGGCCUUCGGGUUGUAAAGUACUUUCAGCGGGGAGGCGUUACCCGCAGAAGAAGCACCGGCUAACUCCGUGCCAGCCGCCGCGGUAAUAC
Molecule: ribosomal RNA, 406 nt
Filed under: uncultured bacterium
Lineage: Bacteria
Description: partial 16S ribosomal RNA
Rfam family: Bacterial small subunit ribosomal RNA
Source: RNAcentral